This 141-nucleotide ribosomal RNA is filed under the name Equus caballus (horse). Its description in RNAcentral is "partial small subunit ribosomal RNA". The record is from RNAcentral. Lineage: Eukaryota; Metazoa; Chordata; Mammalia; Perissodactyla; Equidae.
UACUACUAGCAACAGCCUAAAACUCAAAGGACUUGGCGGUGCUUUACAUCCCUCUAGAGGAGCCUGUUCCAUAAUCGAUAAACCCCGAUAAACCCCACCAUCCCUUGCUAAUUCAGCCUAUAUACCGCCAUCUUCAGCAAA